This 638-nucleotide ribosomal RNA is filed under the name Helix pomatia (Roman snail). Its description in RNAcentral is "partial 16S ribosomal RNA". The record is from RNAcentral. Lineage: Eukaryota; Metazoa; Mollusca; Gastropoda; Stylommatophora; Helicidae.
UACCUAAACAAAUUUAAAAAGUUAAGCUUUUAAAUAACUAUUAAAGAUAUUAUCCCCUUGUAGUGUAGUUUAAUAGCUAUCUACAUAAUAACUUAAUAUAAAGUAUAAUAGUUUAUAUUUUAUAAUAUGACGUUAACAAUUUUGUUUAAUAUUUGAAAAUGUUAGUAUUAGUAAUAUUAGUAUAUGUGCUAAAGGAACUCGGCAAAAAACCACUCAACUGUUUAUCAAAAACAUAGCUAUAUGAAUUAAUAUAUAGUUAUUUCUGCUCAAUGAUUUAAAUAGCCGCAGUACUCUGACUGUGCAAAGGUAGCAUAAUCAGUUGGCUUUUAAUUAGAGUCUGGUAUGAACGAAAAUAUGGGUAGUAACUGUCUUAGUACAUUUUUUCGAACUUAUUAAACAAGUGCAAAUGCUUGUAAUUUAACAAUAGACGAGAAGACCCUAGAAACUUGGACAAGUUUUUGUUGGGGCGACAGAAUUACACUUAACUAAUCUUAUAAUACACGACGCGAUGUUGAAAGAAUAAGUUACUCUAGGGAUAACAGCAUAAUUUCAUUAGUUUGUGACCUCGAUGUUGGACUAGGUACUAUACCCUUAAGGCAAGGAUAUAUUAUGCUCUGUUCGAGCAAAAUUACCUACAU